UGGGGAAUUUUCCGCAAUGGGCGAAAGCCUGAUGGAGCAAUGCCGCGUGGAGGUGGAAGGCCUACGGGUCGUCAACUUCUUUUCUCGGAGAAGAAACAAUGACGGUAUCUGAGGAAUAAGCAUCGGCUAACCCUGUGCCAG
This 141-nucleotide ribosomal RNA is filed under the name uncultured bacterium. RNAcentral describes it as "partial 16S rRNA". It matches the Rfam family "Bacterial small subunit ribosomal RNA", at positions 355 to 511 of the family's 1533-position model. The record is from RNAcentral.